RNAcentral lists this ribosomal RNA (254 nucleotides) under uncultured bacterium. RNAcentral describes it as "partial 16S ribosomal RNA". It matches the Rfam family "Bacterial small subunit ribosomal RNA", at positions 524 to 776 of the family's 1533-position model. The record is from RNAcentral.
UACGGGGGGAGCAAGCGUUGUUCGGAUUUACUGGGCGUAAAGGGCGCGUAGGCGGCCACGACAAGUCACUUGUGAAAUCUCCGGGCUUAACUCGGAACGGUCAAGUGAUACUGUCGGGCUAGAGUGCAGAAGGGGCAACUGGAAUUCUCGGUGUAGCGGUGAAAUGCGUAGAUAUCGAGAGGAACACCUGCGGCGAAGGCGGGUUGCUGGGCUGACACUGACACUGAGGCGCGAAAGCCAGGGGAGCGAACGGG